Molecule: ribosomal RNA, 528 nt
Filed under: uncultured bacterium
Lineage: Bacteria
Description: partial 16S ribosomal RNA
Rfam family: Bacterial small subunit ribosomal RNA
Source: RNAcentral
UGGGGAAUAUUGGACAAUGGGCGCAAGCCUGAUCCAGCAAUGCCGCGUGUGUGAAGAAGGCCUUCGGGUUGUAAAGCACUUUUAUCAGGAGCGAAACGCUGUCGGCUAAUACCCGGCGGAACUGACGGUACCUGAGGAAUAAGCACCGGCUAACUUCGUGCCAGCAGCCGCGGUAAUACGAAGGGUGCAAGCGUUAAUCGGAAUUACUGGGCGUAAAGCGUGCGUAGGCGGUUUCUUAAGUCUGCUGUGAAAUCCCCGGGCUCAACCUGGGAAUGGCAGUGGAUACUGGGAGGCUAGAGUGUGUCAGAGGGUGGUGGAAUUCCCGGUGUAGCGGUGAAAUGCGUAGAGAUCGGGAGGAACAUCAGUGGCGAAGGCGGCCACCUGGGACAACACUGACGCUGAGGCACGAAAGCGUGGGGGAGCAAACAGGAUUAGGAUACCCUGGUAGUCCACGCCCUAAAGCGAUGCGAACUGGAUGUUGGUCUCAACUCGGAGAUCAGUGUCGAAGCUAACGCGUUAAGUUCGCCG